Molecule: long non-coding RNA, 236 nt
Filed under: Physcomitrium patens
Lineage: Eukaryota; Viridiplantae; Streptophyta; Bryopsida; Funariales; Funariaceae
Description: long non-coding RNA (PPAT_LNC007713)
Source: RNAcentral
UGGGGUUUGAUAAAAGAUUGGAUAGGGUUUCUAUAGGUGUUGAUUUUGGGUGAUUUCGAUUUGUAUUGACUUUGUAAUAGCUUUGAAAAGUCAAGGUUUGUUGUGGAUGAUUUAGAUUUUAUGAAAUAAAAUAUGGUUUAUGUUUUGGAUGGUUUCAAGAGUUUUGUUAUAGAUCUAUGGGUGGAAUUUUGUGGAUUUAUGCUUAUAUUUGUGUUUAAUAUGAGUCGUGAAUUUGA